This 256-nucleotide ribosomal RNA is filed under the name uncultured bacterium. RNAcentral describes it as "partial 16S ribosomal RNA". It matches the Rfam family "Bacterial small subunit ribosomal RNA", at positions 1247 to 1500 of the family's 1533-position model. The record is from RNAcentral.
AAGCGAGCCCGCGAGGGGAGCGAAUCCCAAAAAUAAACGUCCCAGUUCGGAUUGUAGUCUGCAACCCGACUACAUGAAGCUGGAGUUGCUAGUAAUCGCGAAUCAGCAUGUCGCGGUGAAUACGUUCCCGGGCCUUGUACACACCGCCCGUCACACCAUGAGAGUUGGCAAUACCCAACGUACGUGAUCUAACCCGCAAGGGAGGAAGCGUCCUAAGGUAGGGUCAGCGAUUGGGGUGAAGUCGUAACAAGGUAGC